AAAAAGACAAACUCUGGUUUCCGUGCCCAACGUUUGACCGUCUGUCUUAUUUAAAAAAAUUAUAAAAAAAUUAAAAAGACAAGUCACGUAUAAAAUAUUAAUUAUAUUUUAUCAUCUAACAACAAUAAAAAUACGAAUUAUAAAAAAAAUUUAUAUAAGACGGACAGUCAAAGUUGGACACGGAAACUUAGGGUUUGACUUUUU
This 204-nucleotide microRNA precursor is filed under the name Oryza sativa Indica Group (long-grained rice). RNAcentral's name for it is "MIR812 microRNA precursor family". It matches the Rfam family "MIR812 microRNA precursor family". Lineage: Eukaryota; Viridiplantae; Streptophyta; Magnoliopsida; Poales; Poaceae. The record is from Rfam by way of RNAcentral.